RNAcentral lists this transfer RNA (76 nucleotides) under Glycomyces albus. RNAcentral's name for it is "tRNA-Arg". It matches the Rfam family "tRNA". From Rfam's summary of the family: Transfer RNA (tRNA) molecules are approximately 80 nucleotides in length. Their secondary structure includes four short double-helical elements and three loops (D, anti-codon, and T loops). Lineage: Bacteria; Bacillati; Actinomycetota; Actinomycetes; Glycomycetales; Glycomycetaceae. The record is from RNAcentral. RNAcentral also lists the same sequence under 1 other name.
GCCCCAGUAGCUCAGGGGAUAGAGCAACGGUUUCCUAAACCGCAGGUCGCAGGUUCGAUUCCUGCCUGGGGCACCA